RNAcentral lists this ribosomal RNA (440 nucleotides) under uncultured bacterium. RNAcentral describes it as "partial 16S ribosomal RNA". It matches the Rfam family "Bacterial small subunit ribosomal RNA", at positions 338 to 795 of the family's 1533-position model. The record is from RNAcentral.
CCUACGGGUGGCAGCAGUGGGGAAUAUUGCACAAUGGGGGAAACCCUGAUGCAGCGACGCCGCGUGAGUGAAGAAGUAUUUCGGUAUGGAAAGCUCUAUCAGCAGAGAAGAAAAUGACGGUACCUGAUUAAGAAGCCCCGGCUAACUACGAGCCAGCAGCCGUGGUAAUACGUCGGGGGCCAGCGUGAUCCGGAUUUACUGGGUGUUAAGGGAGCGUAGACGGCAGCACAAGUCUGGAGUGAAAUGCCGGGGCUUAACCCCGGAACUGCUUUGGAAACUGUGCAGCUAGAGUGAAGGAGAGGUAAGUGGAAGUCCUAGUGUAGCGGUGAAAUGCGUAGAUAUUAGGAGGAACACCAGUGGCGAAGGCGGCUUACUGGACUGUAACUGACGUUGAGGCUCGAAAGCGUGGGGAGCAAACAGGAUUAGAUACCCCUGUAGUC